Molecule: ribosomal RNA, 253 nt
Filed under: uncultured bacterium
Lineage: Bacteria
Description: partial 16S ribosomal RNA
Rfam family: Bacterial small subunit ribosomal RNA
Source: RNAcentral
UACGAAGGGGGCUAGCGUUGUUCGGAAUUACUGGGCGUAAAGAGCGCGCAGGCGGUUAUUUAAGUUAGAUGUGAAAGCCCCGGGCUUAACCUGGGAACUGCAUUUAAUACUGAGUAACUAGAGUGUGAUAGGGAGAGACGGAAUGGCGAGUGGAGCAGUGAAAUGCGUUGAUAUUCGUUGGAACACCGGAGGCGAAGGCGGUCUCUUGGAUCAUCACUGACGCUGAGGCGCGAAAGCGUGGGGAGCAAACAGG